RNAcentral lists this transfer RNA (87 nucleotides) under Streptomyces tendae. RNAcentral describes it as "tRNA-Val". It matches the Rfam family "tRNA". From Rfam's summary of the family: Transfer RNA (tRNA) molecules are approximately 80 nucleotides in length. Their secondary structure includes four short double-helical elements and three loops (D, anti-codon, and T loops). Lineage: Bacteria; Bacillati; Actinomycetota; Actinomycetes; Kitasatosporales; Streptomycetaceae. The record is from RNAcentral. RNAcentral also lists the same sequence under 13 other names.
GGAGGAUUGGCCGAGUGGCAAGGCACCGGCUUGACCCAAGCCGUGGUCGGGUGAGAGCCCGCGCACGUUCGAUCCGUGCAUCCUCCG